UGGGGAAUAUUGCACAAUGGGCGCAAGCCUGAUGCAGCCAUGCCGCGUGUGUGAAGAAGGCCUUCGGGUUGUAAAGCACUUUCAGCGAGGAGGAAGGUGGUGGACUUAAUACGUUCAUCAAUUGACGUUACUCGCAGAAGAAGCACCGGCUAACUCCGUGCCAGCAGCCGCGGUAAUACGGAGGGUGCAAGCGUUAAUCGGAAUUACUGGGCGUAAAGCGCACGCAGGCGGUUUGUUAAGUCAGAUGUGAAAUCCCCGGGCUCAACCUGGGAACUGCAUUUGAAACUGGCAAGCUAGAGUCUCGUAGAGGGGGGUAGAAUUCCAGGUGUAGCGGUGAAAUGCGUAGAGAUCUGGAGGAAUACCGGUGGCGAAGGCGGCCCCCUGGACGAAGACUGACGCUCAGGUGCGAAAAGCGUGGGGAGCAAAACAGGAUUAGAUACCCUGGUAGUCCACGCUGUAAAACGAUGUCGAUUUUGGAGGUUGUGCCCUUGAGGCGUGGCUUCCGGAGCUAACGCGUUAAAUCGACCGCCUGGGGAGUACGGCCGCAAGGUUAAAACUU
Molecule: ribosomal RNA, 559 nt
Filed under: uncultured bacterium
Lineage: Bacteria
Description: partial 16S ribosomal RNA
Rfam family: Bacterial small subunit ribosomal RNA
Source: RNAcentral